UAUGGAGGGUGCAAGCGUUAUCCGGAUUCACUGGGUUUAAAGGGUGCGUAGGUGGGUUGGUAAGUCAGUGGUGAAAUCUCCAGGCUUAACUUGGAAACUGCCAUUGAUACUAUCAAUCUUGAAUGCCGUGGAGGUCAGCGGAAUAUGUCAUGUAGCGGUGAAAUGCUUAGAUAUGACAUAGAACACCAAUUGCGAAGGCAGCUGGCUACACGAAUAUUGACACUGAUGCACGAAAGCGUGGGGAUCAAACAGG
Molecule: ribosomal RNA, 253 nt
Filed under: uncultured bacterium
Lineage: Bacteria
Description: partial 16S ribosomal RNA
Rfam family: Bacterial small subunit ribosomal RNA
Source: RNAcentral